RNAcentral lists this ribosomal RNA (396 nucleotides) under uncultured bacterium. Its description in RNAcentral is "bacterial SSU rRNA". It matches the Rfam family "Bacterial small subunit ribosomal RNA", at positions 361 to 773 of the family's 1533-position model. The record is from RNAcentral.
AUAUUGCACAAUGGACGCAAGUCUGAUGCAGCAACGCCGCGUGGAGGAUGAAGGCCCUUGGGUUGUAAACUCCUUUUUUCAGGGAAGAGAGAGGACGGUACCUGAAGAAUAAGUCACGGCUAACUACGUGCCAGCAGCCGCGGUAAUACGUAGGUGGCAAGCGUUAUCCGGAAUUACUGGGCGUAAAGCGCACGCAGGCGGCGCCGCAAGUUCGACGGGAAAGCUCCCGGCUUAACUGGGAGAGGUCGUUGAAGACUGCUGUGUUUGAGGCAAGGAGAGGGGUGUAGAGUUCCCGGUGUAGUGGUGGAAUGCGUAGAUAUCGGGGGGAAUACCAGUGGCGAAAGCGGCACCCUAGCCUUAGCCUGACGCUCAGGUGCGAAAGCGUGGGGAGCGAGC